GACAGAGGGGGCGAGCGUUGUCCGGAGUCACUGGGCGUAAAGCGCGCGCAGGCGGCAACCUAAGUGUCGUGUGAAAGCCCCCGGCUCAACCGGGGGAGGCCAUGGCAAACUGGGUCGCUCGAGCUGCGGAGAGGCCCCUCGAAUUGCCGGUGUAGCGGUGAAAUGCGUAGAGAUCGGCAGGAAGACCAAGGGGGAAGCCAGGGGGCUGGCCGCUGGCUGACGCUGAGGCGCGACAGCGUGGGGAGCGAACCGG
This 253-nucleotide ribosomal RNA is filed under the name uncultured bacterium. RNAcentral describes it as "partial 16S ribosomal RNA". It matches the Rfam family "Bacterial small subunit ribosomal RNA", at positions 524 to 776 of the family's 1533-position model. The record is from RNAcentral.